AUACGGAGGGUCCGAGCGUUAUCCGGAAUCAUUGGGUUUAAAGGGUCCGUAGGCGGGUUUGUAAGUCAGUGGUGAGAGUUUUCGGCUCAACCGGAGAAUUGCCAUUGAUACUGCAAGUCUUGAAUCAUUAUGAAGUGGUUAGAAUGUGUAGUGUAGCGGUGAAAUGCAUAGAUAUUACACAGAAUACCGAUUGCGAAGGCAGAUCACUAAUAAUGUAUUGACGCUAAGGGACGAAAGCGUGGGUAGCGAACAGGAUUAGAAACCCUAGUAGUCC
This 274-nucleotide ribosomal RNA is filed under the name uncultured bacterium. Its description in RNAcentral is "partial 16S ribosomal RNA". It matches the Rfam family "Bacterial small subunit ribosomal RNA", at positions 523 to 796 of the family's 1533-position model. The record is from RNAcentral.